This 378-nucleotide unclassified non-coding RNA is filed under the name plant metagenome. RNAcentral's name for it is "partial contains 5.8S ribosomal RNA, internal transcribed spacer 2, and large subunit ribosomal RNA". The stretch from base 1 to 105 matches the Rfam family "5.8S ribosomal RNA", at positions 50 to 154 of the family's 154-position model. The record is from RNAcentral.
GAAAUGCGAUAAGUAAUGUGAAUUGCAGAAUUCAGUGAAUCAUCGAAUCUUUGAACGCACCUUGCGCUCCUUGGUAUUCCUUGGAGCAUGCCAGUUUGAGUAUCAUGAAAUCUUCAAAGUAAAUCUUUUGUUAACUCAAUUGGUUUCUACUUUGGUAUUGGAGGUCUUUGCAGCUUCACACCUGCUCCUCUUUGUUCAUUAGCUGGAUCUCAGUGUUAUGCUUGGUUCCACUCGGCGUGAUAAGUUAUCUAUCGCUGAGGACACUGUAAAAGGUGGCCAAGGUAAAUGCAGAUGAACCCCUUCUAAUAGUCCAUUGACUUGGACAAUACUUUUAUGAUCUGAUCUCAAAUCAGGUAGGACUACCCGCUGAACUUAAGC